Molecule: long non-coding RNA, 383 nt
Organism: Drosophila santomea
Lineage: Eukaryota; Metazoa; Arthropoda; Insecta; Diptera; Drosophilidae
Exons: 2
Source: RefSeq, a predicted model, not a curated record
GUCGUCAUCAAUUUCCUCCUGGUCGGUCGGGACCUCUGGAGGGCUGAAGAAAUUGAAGAAGGAAUCCGUUGGGACCUGCUUGACGAUGGUGCGCACUGCGCCGCGCUCCUUGUGCUUCUGCUUCUUGCGGAUGGUCUUCACAUCAUCCCUUGAUGUUGGUGUGUCCAGCUAGCUUACCGUGCACUUGUAAAUCUCUGGGCCUUCGAAUGCGAACGGAUCCUCGGGAUCCACGGUGGACUUCAGAACGUACUGUUUUGUGAGAACAGAGUUGGAGAAGUACUCGUUCUUGUCGAAGUGGAACUCCAAGGUGUACGAAUGCUAAAAUGAAAUAAAAAUAAAGCGGGUUAGGCGGACAGGACUGCUGGAAUGUGGCCAAGAACUCA